GGACUUCCGGUCGGCGCCAGCGUUUAAUGGCGGUCCUCGCUUCGAGCUCCGGAGGAGGACUGCUUCGCGAGUUCGGGUCUGACCCGCUACGGCGAGCGGGGGACCCCUAAAAUCACAGGCGCUGAAGCCUGUGAACAAGGAGACUCGGUGGGCACCUUUUGCCCCCCGGUACUGUGAAAGAGCCUUUUUAAGGCUACGGAGCGGCAUCGGGGGUGAGCGCGGUGCUGAGAGUCGCAACCCAGCUCGUGGAGUGAAGCCGCAUCGCCAUGAACGGAGAGCGCCGAUUCCUUCCUGAACCAGAAAUUCGACUGUAAACCCCGUGAGUAAGACGGAGGGAUUGAACGGGACAUUUAAAUUUAAAUUCUGAAAUUUGGCUGAAAACGGGAAAGGCAUAAAUUAAGGAAGUCUGCCUCCCCGAUCUGCAUGGCAAUUAAAGCAACGAAAGAGUAAAGCUGCAUUUGAAAGAAAAUUAUCUUUGAGCUGUCAAACCUGACAUUUGACUUAAACUUCCCCCCAGUAAGCAGGAGAAGGGGGGAAGAAAACUGGACACUGUUAAUCUGCCUGAAAUUAACUGAGGAAAAAAACAUCUUUCACUGCCAAAUCCCCUGAACGGACUGCCUGAGUAAGGCACUGGGAAAGUGAACUGUCAGUUUAGACUGGAUACAAAGUUGGGGUUUUGUCUGAGACAAAGUUACGGGACUUUAAUGGAAUUACUUUGUUGAACUUGUGACUAUACUGAAAAAGUGCGACAGAAACUUUUACUGUGGACUCUUGGAUUUUUUGUUGAUUGCUCUAUGUUCCUUUGUUCUUUCUCUCUUCACUUGGAUACAAUUAAAUGCUCCCUCUAGAGGGUAUAAAGAGAAACUGUUAUAGUGAAAAAGAAACAGUGGGAUUUUCCACUUGCAAGUCUUUCCUGUGAGAACGACCUUGAGGAUAUGAGUGGUCCAGCAGAAGAGAUAACAACUAGAUCCAAAGCAAAACAGACACAAAAGAAAAGGGGCUCAAUAUCUGGCAUACCACCAGCUGCACAGGAAAAAGUGGCAACAGCAUCUAUGGAUUCAAUGACACAGGCACUGCUCAAAAUAAACCAAUCUUUAGAAGCACUGACAAAGCUAUCUACGGAAAAUUCAAAAAAUUGACAGAACUGACAGCAAGAUUGGACUUGAAUACUGCAAGUGUAACAUCUAAUACAGAAUCUAUUAAUAAAUUAAUUCAAGAAAGUUCUGAAACACGAAAGAUUGCUGAAAGUGCAAAAAUACUGCAGAGGAGACAAGGGAGGAGCUUGUGCCGAUUAC
Podarcis lilfordi (Lilford's wall lizard) is the source of this 1295-nucleotide non-coding RNA. The record is from the annotation of a GenBank genome assembly. NCBI's taxonomy places the organism in Eukaryota, Metazoa, Chordata, Lepidosauria, Squamata, Lacertidae.